This 213-nucleotide long non-coding RNA is filed under the name Mytilus galloprovincialis (Mediterranean mussel). The record is from RNAcentral. Lineage: Eukaryota; Metazoa; Mollusca; Bivalvia; Mytilida; Mytilidae.
CACAAAAAGCCUCAAAAUUUGUUUUAUCAUAUUUUCGCUACAGCCGCAAAUUUCUCCAAUUAGCUCCUGUAUUAAUUGAUCUUAAUCUCCCUCCGAAAUGUUUGAAACGUUGAUUUUGUUAAAUUGCAUUGUCUCAUUUUUCCUAUUAAUUGCACUCUCGCUAGCGAUAGACACAUAUUUGAGCCGGGUUUAUAGUUUACAGAAGCAGAUCGG